CGGAGACGCAGCAUUCCUUUUCCUGCCACGGCCAGGAAAGCUGAGCUUUACAAAUUAAUGCGGACUCAUACUGAUAACUCGGGGGCGGGAGAGGGCACAAGUGGUAUGGGCAACUCGGACCUACACGCCAUGGUCGCUUCACUAGUAGCAUCCAUGAGCAAGGUCAACGAGAGACUGGAUAGGAUCGAGGCUCGGAGCCCUCCUGUCAGGUCUCCCAGGCCCUCGACUGCCUUAUUCCCCAAUGCUCCACUAUUGCAAUCGGGUAAUUAUGUGCCCUCUGGUUCCGAAACUCACAUUAUCAAUCCUGUGCACAUGGUCCCAGACAAGAUUAAGAAAGACAUCUUGGACGGGAAGGAUGUCAAUCUUGUGGCGUUACUUAUUGCUUCUCACGAUGUGAUUGAUAACCGCACUUAUGCUUAUGGUGAUAUUUAAGUGGUGUUGAAAGCCAGGAACCCUAGAUUGAAUAAGAAACUGUCCAUAACUGAUUUUGUCUUGGCUUUUGGCAUAUAUUGUGAUGUAAUUUGUUCUGUUUAUCCGCAUAGAUGAGAGGACCUCUACAUGCACAAGCUCGUGGACUUGGGAAGCGAAUAUGGUGGGUCAUCCUUUUAUGACUAUCACCAAUCCUUUUCGGCAAGAGCGUCUGCAAUUUUGGCUCAGUAGAACGUCAAAACUGACUGGAGCCGCAUGGAUACUGAGCUAUUUUGUAGACAUUUUGCCGGUCUCAAGACACCAGCUUGUGCAGUUUGUGCUUCAACAUCUCAUUCCUCGGACUAUUGUCCCACUAUGCCAGAGACCACACCUGGGACCUGCCACAGACCAGGUUGGACAGAUCUGGCAAGGACAAACUUGGUCGCCCUAUUGUUUACCUGGGAAAGUCUCAGGUUUGCAAUAACUUUAACGUAGGUACCUGUGGUUAUAGUGCCUGCAGGUUGUUACAUGUGGGUUCACAUUGUUUUAGAGCACACGCUGUGGUGUAUCACCAAAUUAAUAUAUAUAUUACACAAGGUUCAUCUACAUUAAAAGGUAUUUAUUAAAAGGCAACAACACAAUAGUCUAUGUGUCCCAAUAAAAGUCAUACUAAACCAUACUUGACAUCCGUAAAGAUUGGUUCUUUGGCACACGCAUUAGCCUCCUAUCCAUCCAAACACCUAGUGGACUUUUUGAUAGAUGGUUUCACAGAGGGAUUCCAUACAGGGUUGGUUCAUACUCCCACUGGCAUUUAUGAAUGCAACAAUUUACAGUCGGCAUUUGCAAACAUGGAAAUGAUCGAUGCUCUAUUACAUAAAGAAUUAGAGGAUGGGUUUUUAUUGGGACCUUUUCACGAGCCCCCAUUUUCCAAUUGGCGAACCAACCCCAUAGGAUUAGUCACUGGGAAAUCCUCAGGGAAACACAGACUGAUGUUAGACCUAUCAGCACCUCACUCCUUGGCCAUACCAAGCCUUAAGUCCCUAAUUCCAUCCGAGAAAUUUUCACUCAAGUACGCUACCAUAGACAACGCUAUACACACCAUCAUCACAGCUGGCAUAGGUGCUUGGCACAGCAAAACUGACAUCGUCAAUGCGUUUAAGUUACUACCCAUUCGCCCGUCACUAUGGCAUCUGCAUGGUUUAAAAUGGAACGAUAUCUAUUAUUUUUUUCACAAGACUCACGUUCGGGUCAAAAAGCAGCCCAAAAAUAUUUGACAUCUUUGCCGAAACCUUAUGUUGGCUGCUGUUAAACAAUUGCAGAUGCCAGGCCGUUAUACAUUAUCUGCACGACUUUCUGUUCGUGGAGAAUAAUUCCUCUUCCCCCAGUGAUCUGACAAAGGCCAUAUCAUUUUUUCAUUCUCUGGGGGUGCCAGUGUCCCCCAAGAAAACAGAAGGCCCUGACACGUUAGUAAAUUUCCUAGGUAUCCUACUAGAUUCAGUAAACAUGGAAGCGAGCUUACCUCCAGGUAAAAUUGACAACAUACUACAAUCCAUCAACAAAUUUUUGGUCAAUAGGACAUGCAAUAGGAAGGAAUUGCAAUCUUUGCUGGGAUCAUUGAAUUUCGCCAUACGAAUCAUCCCGCAAGGCAGGGCCUUUAUUUCUAGACUCCUUUGCCUCCUCCCUCUCAUACCAAAUGACGUUACUCGUAUCAGCUUGGAGGCACAGGCUACAGCUGAAUUGCUAAUGUGGCGCAAAUUCCUGUUGCAAUGGAAUGGCAGAAGCAUGUUCUUGCCUCCAUUGUCUGUCCACUCUCCGGUCAUUUGGACAGAUGCGGCAGCAUCAACGGGUUUUGCUGCCAUAUUUGGAAACGAGUGGCUUUGGGAUGCUUGGCCAGAGGAGGUCCAGCACAUUGAAGGCUUCUCACGCACCUCGGCCUUAUUUGAGAUAUACCCCAUUGUGGCGGCAGCGGUGGUGUGGGGUCAGUCUUGGGCAGGUAGCUCGGUACGCUGUUUUUCCGACAACCAAGCUACCUGCGACAUCAUAAACAAAGGCCGAUCGGAGUCUCUAACGAUCAUGAGAUUCAUGAGAAGACUGACCUGGUUGGCAGCCUGCAAUCACUUUUAUUUGGUGUGUUCUCAUGUACCAGGGGUCUUCAAUACUGCAGCUGACAAAUUGUCUCGCUUUGAAUUCCAG
This 2601-nucleotide long non-coding RNA is filed under the name Pelobates cultripes (western spadefoot toad). The record is from RNAcentral. Lineage: Eukaryota; Metazoa; Chordata; Amphibia; Anura; Pelobatidae.